AUUGAACGCUGGCGGCAGGCCUAACACAUGCAAGUCGAGCGGCGCGGCGGACGGGUGAGUAAUGCCUAGGAAUCUGCCUGGUAGUGGGGGAUAAUGUCCGGAAACGGGCGCUAAUACCGCAUACUAUCAGAUCAGCCUAGGUCGUAUUAGCUAGUUGGUGGGGUAAAGGCCUACCAAGGCGACGAUCCGUAACUGGUCUGAGAGGAUGAUCAGUCACACUGGAACUGAGACACGGUCCAGACUCCUACGGGAGGCAGCAGUGGGGAAUAUGGGACAAUGGGCGAAAGCCUGAUCCAGCCAGGCCGCGGGGUGGAAGAAGGUCUUCGGAUUGUAAAGCACGUUAAGUUGGGAGGCGUUACCAACAGAAUAAGCACCGGCUAACUUCGUGCCAGCAGCCGCGGUAAUUC
RNAcentral lists this ribosomal RNA (407 nucleotides) under uncultured bacterium. RNAcentral describes it as "partial 16S ribosomal RNA". It matches the Rfam family "Bacterial small subunit ribosomal RNA", at positions 30 to 526 of the family's 1533-position model. The record is from RNAcentral.